UUGUAUCCUCAUUUAAGAAAUUUUUGCAUUUUGGUACUGUGCUGUAGCAAGAAAGCCUGUGUAGUGCUGCUCACCUCAGACUUCUGCUAGCUGAUGGGCAUUCUGGAAUGACUGAGGACUCUUCAAUGUUCCUUUUACAACCUCAAUUAAAAAGUACUUAAUAGGAAAAGAAAUGACUAUAAAAGAUUAUAGCAAUCUCUGGUUUGUUUCAGCAUUUGCUGUUGUGUCUUAAAAAAAUAUUUAAAAAUAUUUUUCCCUAGGUGUUUUCCAGGUUUCCUGGACUUAGCCUGCAUCCCUUUUAACAGUGAUUGUGGUUCAUCUUGCACUGCAAUCGGAAGACAUUUUGCGACUGGUAACUGGUGUGCUCCUUGCAAACAUUAUAGAGAAAAUACCCUGUUGAAUAUGGAACUGAAUGAUAUCGCUGUUUCCCCCAAGUUUGUCUACUUUUAACUGAAAGAGGGUGGGAAGUUUUUUUUUUUGGAUGUGGAAGUAUUAGUAAAUUUUCAUAGCAUCGUAGGAUCGUUAUGGUUGGAAAAGCCCUUCAAGAUCAUGGAAUUCAACUGUAAAUUUUGAAUGAAACAGGGCAAAAGAAUAGAGUAUAGAAAACAGUACACAMAUUUAUCACACCGUAAUAUAUAGGYGGUUGUGAGAAGGCAUGUCUCAAGUGAUGCUGUUACUGUGGGAUGUGAUAAGGGUUACCUGAGGGAGCCUGCAUGGGACUGUUGAGGUCCCACAGSAGCCGUGGCUGGCUGCACUGCAUUAUUAUGAGUUUGGGGUCUGAUAAACCUUUAUUUUGUCAGGUCAUUCACAAAGUGUCUAAGCUGUUCCCUGCUUAGGUCAGGCCUUGAAAGCAAUGUGAACAAUGUCCUGCAUCUGCACAGUGGGGUGGUGUUUGUUGUUUUGUUUUCUCCAAUCAGAGGGCUGGCUAUACAUAAAUUAAUUCCUGGUUCUACAUCUGUGGAGAUACUUGAAACCAUUUUCCUUGUUUUCUGAAAUUCUGCRACCGUUUUCCAUGUUUUCUGAAAUUCCACUCUAAUCCAGUUCCUAGGAUUAGAGGACCUGUACCGUGUCAUAAGACCUUUCUCCUGUCUGAAAUUUUUAUUAUUUCACCUCUGGUCUGUCUUUAGAUGCUGAACACUGCUGUGAUGGACGGUAAAGUUUGGCCUUGCAGUAUGUAUGCUGAUGGCAAGUACUCAUAUCAAAUUUCUGUAAUCUGACAUGUCUGAGGAGGUCCUUGUGCUUUUUGGCUGUGUUUUCCUCUGCUUUUUAAUUUUUCAGUAUUGAUAAAAAUGUUUACCUUUAAUUAUAGGAUAUCUAAGAGCUGCUCUGCAGCAAAGAAGGCGAGUUUAGGAGUGGUGGGGACAACCAUAGUUAAUUCCAUAGUUAAUGUCCAUAGUUAAUUCGUCUGGACUUUCUCUAAUAUAUUCAUUAAAGAUUUCUUAUAUCUUGGAAUGAUCAGGUCAUGACAAGAGCUAAAAAUAGAGCUCACUUUUAGCAUUGGGGAGAAAAAGACACCGAUCUACAAAUCAGAUUUUUAGCCUUUUCCUCUUAGUGCUCUCAGCCCUUUGUUUGCCUCUGCAACUAUUCAGUUGUAUAUUUUCCUAAUUGAGAAUUAAUGUCCACAUAAGGCUUGUUGCUGGAAAGUAUUUGUCACUAGUGCUCAUUUCUUUAUAUAUAGAGAGUUUGGACAACUAUCAUCCUAGUUGAUAAGGAGAAGAUGCUUUCUAUUAACUGUGCUUUGAAGACAGGUUCAGAGAUUCCCAUUUUCAAUCAAAUUUGGCAUUUGUUCUGAAGCCUAACGGAAGCCUUAGCUAAUACAUAUCUCGAUUCUCUGAUUUAGGGUGUAAAGGACUUCUUGCCUUUGAAUCUUGUUUUGACAGAUGUUUAAGUCCCUGGAUUUCUGACUUGGAUAGUAACAUGGCAAAUAGUCUCAGAAAAGCUCCAGCAUCUGCCUGUCGUGGCAUGUGAUUUGAGGAGUGAGGAGAGAAAUAUCAAAAAUUCAGGUGGGUGUAGUACAUGUUUUUGCAGUCUUGUCCCUUGUUCUAUACAGUGUACUGGAAACUGAGCA
Nothoprocta perdicaria is the source of this 2068-nucleotide long non-coding RNA. RefSeq lists it as uncharacterized. The transcript has 2 exons. Lineage: Eukaryota; Metazoa; Chordata; Aves; Tinamiformes; Tinamidae. The record is from RefSeq and is a predicted model, not a curated record.